GACAUGGCUCAGGAUGAACGCUAGCUACAGGCUUAACACAUGCAAGUCGAGGGGCAGCAUGAAAGGAACUUCGGUUCUUUUUGAUGGCGACCGGCGCACGGGUGCGUAACGCGUAUCGAACCUGCCUCAUACUCGGGGAUAGCCUUGCGAAAGUAAGAUUAAUACCCGGCAGUCUCGGACGGCCGCAUGACAGUCCGAGUGAAGAUUUAUCGGUAUGAGAUGGCGAUGCGUCCCA
RNAcentral lists this ribosomal RNA (235 nucleotides) under uncultured bacterium. RNAcentral describes it as "partial 16S ribosomal RNA". It matches the Rfam family "Bacterial small subunit ribosomal RNA", at positions 16 to 240 of the family's 1533-position model. The record is from RNAcentral.